GGCCUUGAGCCGUGGCUUUCGGAGCUAACGCGUUAAGUAGACCGCCUGGGGAGUACGGUCGCAAGAUUAAAACUCAAAUGAAUUGACGGGGGCCCGCACAAGCGGUGGAGCAUGUGGUUUAAUUCGAUGCAACGCGAAGAACCUUACCUACUCUUGACAUCCAGAGAACUUUCCAGAGAUGGAUUGGUGCCUUCGGGAACUCUGAGACAGGUGCUGCAUGGCUGUCGUCAGCUC
This 234-nucleotide ribosomal RNA is filed under the name Vibrio sp. Its description in RNAcentral is "partial 16S ribosomal RNA". It matches the Rfam family "Bacterial small subunit ribosomal RNA", at positions 828 to 1061 of the family's 1533-position model. Lineage: Bacteria; Pseudomonadati; Pseudomonadota; Gammaproteobacteria; Vibrionales; Vibrionaceae. The record is from RNAcentral.